This 1931-nucleotide long non-coding RNA is filed under the name Cucumis sativus (cucumber). RNAcentral's name for it is "long non-coding RNA (CSAT_LNC002315)". The record is from RNAcentral. Lineage: Eukaryota; Viridiplantae; Streptophyta; Magnoliopsida; Cucurbitales; Cucurbitaceae.
AAAAAAAAGAAGAAGCUUCCAAUCUCAUUUUAUCUCCACUACUUUCUACACCAAAAUUGGGUCCCACAACCCGGUUCUUUGUCUAGAGGAUAGCAGUUGAGUACUAGUGGUGGUCUCGGGUAGAAUUGGUAAGAAGACAUCAAACCUUUUGUAAGCUUCAAAGGUAAUACUUCUUAAAACCCUAAUUUGAUUAGUUUAUGGUUACAUGUUAAUUGUGGCAAUUAGGGUAGAAAUUCGAUUCUUUUUCCGCUGUGCAUGACUUAGUUCUAUCAUGUGAUACCAAACUCCCACUUGGACUAAAAUUCCUAGUGGUAUGAGAGAUGUGGUGUGAGAGAAUAUAUAUGAAACUAGGGCACAUGGCCAAUAAGUCUCCCACUUGUCCUAGUUUACAAACAUCGUACACCUAAACUGUGUAGGUGACCCUCAAACACUUUAGCCAUGAGGGCUUUUGUAAAAUGAUGAGCUUCCAUUGUGGAAUCAGCUAUACAAGUUUGCUUUAUGCUUCUCCAAACUACUGCUCCUCCAUUUAGAGUAAAUACUGAUCCUGAUGUAGACUUUCUAACAUCUUUAUCAGUUUGGAAAUCUGAAUCAGUGUAUCCAGUAAGGAUCAGAUCCUUUGUGUACAUGAGCAUGUAGAAUGUUUUUAACGGCUGUCCAGUGAUCACGUCCAUGAUUGGAUUGAUACCUACUGACCAUCCCUACUGAGUAGCAAAUGUCAGGUCUAGUACAUAACAUUGCAUACAUUAAACUUCCAACAGCGGAAGCAUAGGGAAUAUUUCUCAUAUCCUCAACUUCUUGAGGUGUCUUAGGACAUUGUUCCUUUGACAAAUGAAUUCCAUAUCUGUACGGCAGCAGACCCUUUUUGGAAUUCUGCAUUUUAUAUCUAGACAACAUUUUGUCUAUGUAAGAUGCUUGAGACAUGGCUAGUGUUUUGUUCUUACGGUUUCGAACAAUUUGGAUUCCGAGAACGUAUUGUGCAUCUCCCAGAUCUUUCAUUUGAAAUUGCAUAGCUAGCCAUUUCUUGAUAUCAGGAAGAUAUCCUAGUCAUUUCCAAUAAGUAGAAUAUCAUCUACAUAUAAGACUAAAAAAUGCUAUAAUGGAAUUGACGACCUUUUGUAAACACAAGGCUCGUCAACAUUUUGUUCAAAGCCAUAAGAUUUUGAUCGCAAUAUCAAAUCUUAUAUUCCAGGAUCUAGAAGCUUGUUUUAAUCCAUAAAUGGAUUUUUUAAGCUUACAAACCUUUUGUUCUUGAUCUUGUUUUAUAAACCCCUCUGGUUGAGACAUAUAGAUGCUCUCUUCAAGAUUACCGUUCAAAAAAGCUGUCUUGACAUCCAUCUGCCAAAUUUCAUAAUCAUAAAAAGUGGCGAUGGAUAAGAGUAUUCUAAUUGACUUUAACAUGGCAACGGGAGAGAAAGUUUCCUCUAGUCUACUCCCUCUCUCUAGGUAUAACCCUUUGCCACAAGUCGAGCCUUAAAAGUCUGUACUUUACCGGCAUGGUCUCGUUUUCUCUUGUAGAUCCAUUUACAACCAAUAGGUUUUACGUCAUUUGGUUGAUCUACUAGAAUCUAGAAAGAAUUAAAGUACAUAGACUCCAUUUCGAGGUCCAUGGCUUUGAUCCAUUGGUCAUGAUCUACAUCUUUCAUUGCCUGUUUAUAGGUUAAUGGAUCCUCUAUGCCAUCGUCAGGUAUGACGACUUGAGUUUCAAUUAAACCCAAAUAGCGAUCAGGCUGAUGAACAACCCUCCCACUACGUCGAGGCUCUCUCAACUGUUGAGAAGGAUGUGAUUGACCAGAUUUCCUAGUCUUAUCAACUACUUUAGUGGAUGAACUAGGUUUUAUCUAUAGCACUUUUGGAAAUUUCUUUAAAUACUAGUUUACUACGAGGUUGAUGAUCCCUGAUGUGGUAUUUUAUUUUCUUGAGGAUCAUAAAAC